This is a non-coding RNA of Triticum urartu, 1815 nucleotides long. The record is from RefSeq and is a predicted model, not a curated record. NCBI's taxonomy places the organism in Eukaryota, Viridiplantae, Streptophyta, Magnoliopsida, Poales, Poaceae.
AGCAGUUCAAAAAAAAAGGAAGAAAAAAAAACACAAACCCCAGAGCCAGAGCCAGAUCCAGCGGAAACCCAACCCAAACCAAGCUCCGGCGCGGCCAUGGAUCCCCUGGCCGUGCUCCGGGACUACGCCGCCCGCGGCGACCUGGACAAGAUCAUCUUCAACGGCGACGACGUGCUCUUCGGCGACGACUACACCUUCCCGGCCAACGUCCCCACCGCCUUCACCUCCAAGCAGUCGGGCCGCCCCUACCCGCUCUCCGCCGCCGUCUUCCUCGCGCAGCACAACGACCUCAAGCACACCGACUUCCUCCAGGCCGCCCGCCUCCGCCGGAUCCCGCCCGUCUCCCUCCCGGACCGCAAGACCUUCCUCGACUUCCUCCACUUCGGGGACAGCUCCCUCCCCUCCGCCGAGCCCCUCCUCCCCUCCUCCUUCGCGCAGGACGCCCACCCGCCCCCGCCGCCGCCGCCCCCGGAGGAGGAGGGGGAGGACCCCGACGCCGACGAGGCCUCCACCGCCCACGUCCGCGCCCUCGAGCGGCCCCUCAAGGACCGCAACGCCGUCCUCGACGCCCGCGGCCGCGACUUCCUCGCCAUCUACCACGCCGCGCUGCGCCGCGAGGAGGACCGCCUGCGGAACAAGGACGCCGCGCCCUCCGCCACGGGCCGGCACGAGCCAUCCGCCACAGCCGCCGCCGCCCUCGCGAACCCCAAGCUUGACAAGUCGCUCGGCGACGGCUUCGUGCCCAUCAUACUGGUGCCUAGCGCGUCACAGACGCUGAUAACAAUCUACAACGUGAAGGACUUCCUGGAGGACUUCGUGUUCGUGCCCAGCAACGAGAAGAUGCGGGCCAUGAAGGGGAGCCCCAAGCCCGAGUGCGUCACCCUGCAGAAGAAGCACGUCCGCGGGGCUGGCGGUCCGGUGGCAUUCGAGGUCAGGGACAAGCCGGCCUCGCUCAAGGCCGACGACUGGGCGCGGGUCGUGGCCGUGUUUGUGCUCGGAAAGGAGUGGCAGUUCAAGGACUGGCCCUUCAAGGGUCAUGUCGACAUCUUCAACAAAGUUAUUGGGUUCUUUGUACGCUUUGAAGAUGAUAGUGUGGAUUCAGCAAAAGUGGUCAAGCAGUGGAAUGUCAAAAUCAUAUCUAUAAGCAAGAAUAAAAGGCAUCAGGACAGACCAGCUGCUCUUGAGGUGUGGGAUCGGCUGGAUGAAUUUGUGCGGGCACGCUCAUAGGGGGGGCCUAAGUGAAGAAACUAUACAUGCGACUUGCAGCUACCUUGAGCAAAUGAAAUUGAAUUUCUGCUUAAAUGAAGGAUGAAGGAAUGAGAAAAAAAAGUCGCUGUUGUGACCGAAAUACUCAAAUACCAUGUUGGGUGAUGGAAGUGGACUUAUGCUGGUUGAGAUGUCGACGAGCAGAACAAGCACCCCUAGAUCCCAGCCUCGUAUUUCAGGUGCCGGUCGACGGUGGAACGAGAUGCCAGGAACCUACCUUCCUUCUGCAUUCAUGAGGAUUUGCAUCUUAUGUGCAUUUCGGUUGCUAAGCUAUGAUGUAGUCUAUCCAAUCUGACAUAUUAACUGUAGACUGGUGACAUGGUGCUAGGCUACUUCACCCGCGGCAUUGUCGGAGAUAAGUGUCGUCAUCCUUGUGUGGAUAUUGGGGAAUUAUGGCAGGUAGGGGUUAUCCACCAAAGGAACAUUGUCUGAUUCCAUUGUUGUAACCCAUCAGGAUCUGAAACCCUAGAACAUUUUGCUUUGCUUCGAACACAUGAAGUGUAACAUUUUCACUGCAACAUGGUGUAACACGGGCGCGGCCUGAAUCUA